Molecule: ribosomal RNA, 388 nt
Filed under: uncultured bacterium
Lineage: Bacteria
Description: bacterial SSU rRNA
Rfam family: Bacterial small subunit ribosomal RNA
Source: RNAcentral
GACGAACGCUGGCGGCGUGCUUAACACAUGCAAGUCGAGCGGUAAGGCCCUUUCGGGGGUACGACGAGCGGCGAACGGGUGAGUAACACGUGGGUGACCUGCCUCUAGCUCUGGGAUAAGCCUGGGAAGGCUGGGUCUAAUACCGGAUAUGACCUCGCGGUGCAUGUUGCGGGGUGGAAAGCCUUGUGCGGCUAGGGAGUGGGCCCGCGGCCUAUCAGCUUGUUGGUGGGGUGANGGCCUACCAAGGCGACGACGGGUAGCCGGCCUGAGAGGGCGACCGGCCACACUGGGACUGAGACACGGCCCAGACUCCUACGGGAGGCAGCAGUGGGGAAUCUUGCGCAAUGGGCGAAAGCCUGACGCAGCGACGCCGCGUGAGGGAUGACGG